Molecule: ribosomal RNA, 357 nt
Filed under: uncultured bacterium
Lineage: Bacteria
Description: bacterial SSU rRNA
Rfam family: Bacterial small subunit ribosomal RNA
Source: RNAcentral
AGAGUUUGAUCAUGGCUCAGGAUGAACGCUAGCUACAGGCUUAACACAUGCAAGUCGAGGGGAAACGACGAUCGAAAGCUUGCUUUUGAUGGGCGUCGACCGGCGCACGGGUGAGUAACACGUAUCCAACCUGCCGUCUACUCUUGGACAGCCUUCUGAAAGGAAGAUUAAUACAAGAUGGCAUCAUGAGUUCACAUGUUCACAUGAUUAAAGGUUUUCCGGUAGACGAUGGGGAUGCGUUCCAUUAGAUAGUAGGCGGGGUAACGGCCCACCUAGUCUUCGAUGGAUAGGGGUUCUGAGAGGAAGGUCCCCCACAUUGGAACUGAGACACGGUCCAAACUCCUACGGGAGGCAGCA